UGGGGAAUCUUGCGCAAUGGCCGAAAGGCUGACGCAGCGACGCCGCGUGUGGGAGGACGCCUUUCGGGGUGUAAACCACUGUUGCCCGGGACGAACAGCGCUUUUCGAGGCACCUGACGGUACCGGGUGAGGAAGCACCGGCUAACUCCGUGCCAGCCGCCGCGGUAAUACGGAGGGUGCGAGCGUUGUCCGGAAUCACUGGGCGUAAAGGGCGCGUAGGCGGCAGGCCAAGCGUGCGGUGAAAGUCCGGGGCUCAACCCCGGAUCGGCCGUGCGGACUGGUUUGCUGGAGCACUGUAGAGGCGAGUGGAAUUCCGGGUGUAGCGGUGGAAUGCGUAGAGAUCCGGAAGAACACCGGUGGCGAAGGCGGCUCGCUGGGCAGUGGCUGACGCUGAGGCGCGACAGCGUGGGGAGCAAAC
RNAcentral lists this ribosomal RNA (418 nucleotides) under uncultured bacterium. RNAcentral's name for it is "bacterial SSU rRNA". It matches the Rfam family "Bacterial small subunit ribosomal RNA", at positions 355 to 773 of the family's 1533-position model. The record is from RNAcentral.